UACACUAAAUAUAUUUCACUUAGCCUAAAUCAUUGACAAAUUAACGAAACGAAAAAACAAAAAUUAUGAAUUAGGCCUACCGUUCAUUGUGACGCGUUCCAAAGUUAUCUAAAAGGAAAUGGCAGAAAUUAGUUUUAUUUAUUUUGCAAAAGCUUUACAGUUUUAUUUAUUUUACAGCUUUAUUUGUUUUGCAAAAGCUUGACAGUUUUGAAUGAUAUCUUGCAUCUGUAUAACCAACCAGCGUUCGCGCUGGCGCCUCACGCGCACAAAGACACAACAUAUUUUUGCGACAUUGCAGCCAGUUAAAGAAACAUAUAAAAGGUUAAAGUGCUCCGUUGUCCAAUCUGUUGUUCCGCGUGACCACCGCCUCACUGUGCUGAUAUAGGCUAGCUAGCCGAUGUGAAGGAUAAUGUUUUAUGUCGAUGAAAGUACAAAGCCUAUAAUAAAUAAUAUUUUAGCAUUAGAUACAUCGCGAAUAUGGAAACAUUUGGAUUCGUGCCGAAUGAGAGAGAGAGAGUCCCUAUAUUCAUUGAACAACAUGAACAUUCUUCAGAAUUCCUCCUUUUUUGCCAACAAACAAGAGGGGUGUGGCCAAAGGUUUCAUUGGUGCUUUGUCAUCAUUGCAAGAUUUCAGAUGCAACCCAGUCAGUUCUUCCAAGGCACCAAACACACGUGACCAGACUGCUCCACUGCAACUACAUACUGUGUGUGUACUUUCAAGACUAGGAGUUUAUUGUUUUCAUCCCAGGUAAUAUGUGUAAAUGUUUAAGAGUUUUUACUACAAUUAUUAUGUGCUUUACUGUUCUCAGUGGCAUCUACACUAAUAUUAGUCUGUUUCAUUCUUAUUCCGAGGUGAAUGUAGCCACCCAGAUCCAGUCCAUAUCCAGACCAGAGAGUGGAUCAGCACCUAAAGACAACCUCGACAGCCCUGAAUGUCAGCGGAGAUCAUGACAGCUAGAUGAGCUCCAGAGACAGAUCCCCUCCGAAGACCUCAUUGGCCAUCGGGACAAGACCACGAGAACCAGACAAGUCCUCUGCUCAAUCUGACCUGUGUUGCAGCCUAGAAUUAAACCACUCCAUGCUGGCUUCGUAUGGCCAGAGGAGAACUGCAAAAUUUCCGACUGUGCCUGGUUGCUCCCAAGAUUUUCUACUCAAUUUCUGUCGCCGAUGGAUUUUUGGGUCCCUACCGCUGUCGCCUUUGGCUUGCUUUUUGGUUACGCUUGGCUGAUUGCACAGACAUUAUUGGAAGAGAGCUGAACUGGAUGAUGUCAACACUGAAUCACCAAUGAACUGACUUUAACUGAAAAAAUGACUUGUUAAUGUCCUCUUGCAUUAUUGACCAAUUAUUUUCCUGUUUGACUCUGUAAAGCUACUUUGACACAAUCAGUAUUGUAUAAAGCGCUAUGUAAAUAAAGGUGACUUGAUUUGAUUUUAUAUACUGUAACACUUACAUGUAUGUACUAUAACACCUGAUUCAUUUUUUUUUUUUUUUUUUACUUCUGCCUCAUUUUAAAGAUGUAAUUGUGAACAGUAAUAAUAUUUGUAAAUGUUUGUUUGCUAACAUUUUGUUUAGCUUGUUUAGUUUUUCUUAGUUCAUUAAACAAAUUUAAACUGAAUUUUGCAGUUGUAUUACAGAUGUAAUGUUUGUCAACUG
Long non-coding RNA from Onychostoma macrolepis, 1654 nucleotides. RefSeq lists it as uncharacterized. The record is from RefSeq and is a predicted model, not a curated record. Lineage: Eukaryota; Metazoa; Chordata; Actinopteri; Cypriniformes; Cyprinidae. The transcript is spliced from 3 exons.